This is an RNA transcript of Populus nigra (black poplar), 1573 nucleotides long. It is a transcript of the gene named auxin-responsive protein IAA27-like, with no coding region annotated. Lineage: Eukaryota; Viridiplantae; Streptophyta; Magnoliopsida; Malpighiales; Salicaceae. The transcript is spliced from 5 exons. The record is from RefSeq and is a predicted model, not a curated record.
CACAAAAAAGGGAAGGCAAAGCAGCUACAGAAAGGGCAAUGAAAGUUCUUUUCUGCAUUAACAAAAACCAGCACUUGCAGAAGCGAAUCAACCAUACCGCCUACUCUCUCUCUCACUCUCUGAAACCAUUCUGUUCUCUCCUUCUUGUUCAUAAACUUCUCAUGCUUCUUUUGUGGUCUAUAUUCUCACUACUUCUGUGACCAACUUUGAUGUAUUCUAUACCAAAGGAACAUGAUUACAUAGGCUUGUCAGAGACUCCUUCAAUGGAAAAUAUCUCUGAAAAGCUCUCCUCUUCCUCUACUUCCUCCUCUACUCUCUCAACUGAAGAGAAAAACAACAGCAGCAGCAGCAACAACAACAACAACAAAAAUAACAAUACUUCUCUCAACAUGAAAGAAACUGAGCUAAGGCUUGGCUUGCCAGGGUCUCAGUCUCCAGAGAGAAAACCAACAGUACCCGCAGCUGGGGUGUCUCUUGUUGGAAAAGAUAUUGACACCAACAACACUAAUGCUUAUUCUCUUAUCCCAGUAAAGAAUUUAGUGUCAGGGGCUAAGAGAGUUUUCUCAGAUGCUAUUGAUGGGUCUACUGGGAAAUGGGUUUUCUCUGGUGGUAAUGGAUCUGAGGUUGAUUUGAGUAAAGGAGCUGUUCUGUUCUCUCCCAGAGGCGAUAAUGGUAACCCGCAGAAAUCUCGGGUAGCAGGACCUGCGAAGAAAGAUGUUGCUCAAUCUCCAAAGCCAGUUCAAGAGAAAAACAGCCAAGUGGCUGCUGCAAAUGAGAACAGCAGUGCUCCUGCUGCAAAGACACAGGUGGUAGGAUGGCCACCAAUUCGCUCGUUCCGGAAGAACACCAUGGCCUCUAGUUUGGCGAAGAACAAUGAAGAUGUCGACGGCAAAUCAGGAUAUGGUUACCUGUAUGUAAAGGUUAGCAUGGAUGGUGCUCCAUACCUUAGGAAGGUUGACCUUAAAACUUACGGCAAUUAUCUGGAGCUCUCAUCUGCUCUUGAGAAAAUGUUUGGCUGCUUCACCAUUGGACAAUGUGGUUCUCAUGGGCUUGCAGCGCGAGACGGCCUAACUGAGAGUUGUUUGAAGGAUCUACAUGGUUCUGAAUAUGUUCUCACAUUUGAAGACAAGGAUGGUGAUUGGAUGCUGGUUGGUGAUGUUCCUUGGGAGUAAGUCAUGUUUACCGACUCAUGCAGGAGAUUGAGGAUCAUGAAAGGUUCAGAAGCAAUUGGACUUGCCCCAAGGGCCAUGGAGAAAUGCAAGAACCGUAAUUAAUGUGAAGUGAUGAAGCUUCAGAAGGAUGUUUUCUGGAUUUUAAGAAAGCCUUAUAGUGUGUUCAGGUGAUGAGCGCUUCGCUCAUGAAGCAUAUGUUUGGAGAGUUUAUAAGAUCGUAGUAUUUAGUGAAAUGAAAAAAAAAAAUGGAAACUUUUUACUAGAUUGGAUGUCAUUGAGAAUGCAUCCAAAUUAUUUUAAGCUUGUUUAGCUUCCUUGUUUCCUCUUAGCUUUUCUUUUUCCAAGUGUACUUUAAUGUGUAAAUGAAUGGAUUGCUUGUGGGUAACAAGUCUUUGGCUCUC